CCACUAGAUAGCGGACUAACGCGCGCUGCUGUUCAGUCAGAAUUCAGAACAGAAGAAGAAAAAGAGAGCUUGCCUGCCCGCUGCUCGUUGGUGUCCUUGCAGUUAUAUAUCUUGUGUUUUCACCUCUGUAUUCUCCUGUCUGUCUGAAUGUGGUGAUCCAAGACACUUUGAACAAACCGCUUCCUCGAAUCAUCCUGUGUUUGGAAAUUGGAAUUUCAUAUUAAAAGAAGUCAUGUUUCGAAGAAGAAUACCCUUUGCAGAUGUCCUCUUCGCCACACUGGUUGGAGUCGCUGGUGGUGUUUAUAUCUUCAGCCCUGUUUUUGCACCUCAACUGGAGCCGAAGACCUCAGAACAACAAAACCAGGAUGUGCCACAGAAACCAAAAGAAACAGACUUAUAUAUUUCACCCCUUCAAGGAAAUACUUCACAGACAGAAACCAGAAGAUCAACAUAAGAGGCUGCAGGCUGAACCAAAGGCCUGCACGGAUUUAUGCUUCUUUGGGGUCCUUUGUGUGAUUGUUCAUUGACAAAAUAAAACAUUUAAUAAUUUCACGUCUUGAAUAAUCAUCUAUUUCAAAAUGAUGUGUCAAAAGUUUUGUUUUAUAUGUUUGUUUUUAUCUCCAAUCAUUUCAAAGAGAAACUCACAUUCAUUAAAUCACUUAGCUUACACAAACCCUCAAUGCUAUGUGAUUUAUUGAAUAUAUAGAGAAAUUAUGUUGCAUUGUGGCUUUAUGAAAACAAAAAAGCUUAAUAUUUGUCUAAAUAUGCCAAUAAAUACGAUUUAAAGCCCUGCGGUGCUGUAAAGUAAAAACUUUAUUUGUAUAGUGCCUCUUUUGCAAAAUUGUAUUCAAAGUGCUAAAAAUUACAAUGAAAAUACAACAAUACAAGAAACAAUGCACAGUACAAUACUUUAGUCAUGGACUCCCUCUGAGAUUUACAUUGCAACAGGGAUUAACUCUAAAAAUGGUCCACAUUUUGUUCUU
This is a long non-coding RNA of Notothenia coriiceps (black rockcod), 983 nucleotides long. RefSeq lists it as uncharacterized. NCBI's taxonomy places the organism in Eukaryota, Metazoa, Chordata, Actinopteri, Perciformes, Nototheniidae. The record is from RefSeq and is a predicted model, not a curated record. The transcript has 2 exons.